GGAGGAAAGCAGGGGAUCGCAAGACCUCGCGCUCAUUGAGCGGCCGAUGCCUGAUUAGCUAGUUGGUGAGGUAAAGGCUUACCAAGGCGACGAUCAGUAGCUGGUCUGAGAGGACGACCAGCCACACUGGGACUGAGACACGGCCCAGACUCCUACGGGAGGCAGCAGUGGGAAUUUUGGACAAUGGGGGAAACCCUGAUCCAGCCAUGCCGCGUGAGUGAAGAAGGCCUUCGGGUUGUAAAGCUCUUUCAGCCGGAACGAAACGGUCACGGCUAAUACCUGUGACUACUGACGGUACCGGAAGAAGAAGCACCGGCUAACUACGUGCCAGCAGCCGCGGUAAUACGUAGGGUGCGAGCGUUAAUCGGAAUUACUGGGCGUAAAGCGUGCGCAGGCGGUUUUGUAAGUCAGAAGGGAAAUCCCCGGGCUUAACCUGGGAACUGCGUUUUUAAAAGGAGGCUAGAAGGGC
RNAcentral lists this ribosomal RNA (469 nucleotides) under uncultured beta proteobacterium. Its description in RNAcentral is "bacterial SSU rRNA". It matches the Rfam family "Bacterial small subunit ribosomal RNA", at positions 198 to 650 of the family's 1533-position model. The record is from RNAcentral. Lineage: Bacteria; Pseudomonadati; Pseudomonadota; Betaproteobacteria.